RNAcentral lists this unclassified non-coding RNA (1406 nucleotides) under Leishmania donovani. RNAcentral's name for it is "gene:unknown". The record is from RNAcentral. Lineage: Eukaryota; Euglenozoa; Kinetoplastea; Trypanosomatida; Trypanosomatidae.
CCACAAUCGGCCUCUCUUGCCAUUUCCGCUCAUGUCGUAUGUGCCUCUUGUGUGUGGCCCAGCACUAACGCGAGGAGGUCACCUUCGGCGCACAGACAGCGCCGCACGGUGGCCACGCGCAUGAUGUGACGCAUCCCUUAGCACUCGAGUGAAGUUAGCCCUUCAAUCGGAUCCAUUCACAUGAGCGACUGCUUUCAGUUCCGUUUCAAGUUCAAGCCUUGGCUGACGCGGCACCCUCUCGCUCCGCCGCCUCCUCCGCCUACCGCUGCUGUGUGCUUGCACGCUUGUGUGUGUGUGUGUGUGUGUGUGUGUGUGCACGACUGCCGCGCACACCGCGCGUGUCCGCAACGAAUGAUGGCCUUUCCUCGACCGCUGUCUCCGCUGCUUUUUGCGCCACAUAGACGAUCACCGCGCGUGUGCGCACGCGUGUGUGUGCGUUGGUCGAACAAAACGCAUCAGAGAGUGUGUGAUCGGCGAGGAACGACCCCGUGCAAGCGGGGCGUGUGUCUGUGUGUGUCUGUGUGUGUGUGUGUGUGUCUGUGUCUGUGUAUCUGCGUAUGUGUGUGUGGCUGGUGCGCCCCUACCGCACACGCGCACGUGCCUGUGUAAGCAGACUGUGCAGAGCUCUGCAUCCGUUGUGCAGUCUGUGAUAGCAGCGACGGAGAUGCGGCGUGCGUAUGUGGGCGUGUGGGUGCGAGCGAGGAGAGCACGAGGAGGGUGUGCGUGCGCACGGUGGCCACGCGCAUGAUGUGACGCAUCCCUUAGCACUCGAGUGAAGUUAGCCCUUCAAUCGGAUCCAUUCACAUGAGCGACUGCUUUCAGUUCCGUUUCAAGUUCAAGCCUUGGCUGACGCGGCACCCUCUCGCUCCGCCGCCUCCUCCGCCUACCGCUGCUGUGUGCUUGCACGCUUGUGUGUGUGUGUGUGUGUGUGCACGACUGCCGCGCACACCGCGCGUGUCCGCAACGAAUGAUGGCCUUUCCUCGACCGCUGUCUCCGCUGCUUUUUGCGCCACAUAGACGAUCACCGCGCGUGUGCGCACGCGUGUGUGUGCGUUGGUCGAACAAAACGCAUCAGAGAGUGUGUGAUCGGCGAGGAACGACCCCGUGCAAGCGGGGCGUGCGUCUGUGUGUGUGUGUGUGUGUGUCUGUGUGUGUGUGUGUGUCUGUGUGUGUGUCUGUGUGUGUGUGUGUGUGUCUGUGUGUGUGUGUGUGUGUCUGUGUGUGUGUGUGUGUCUGUGUCUGUGUAUCUGCGUAUGUGUGUGUGGCUGGUGCGCCCCUACCGCACACGCGCACGUGCCUGUGUAAGCAGACUGUGCAGAGCUCUGCAUCCGUUGUGCAGUCUGUGAUAGCAGCGACGGAGAUGCGGCGUGCGUAUGUGGGCGUGUGGGUGCGAGCGAGGAGAGCAC